GUGCUUGCUUUGGCAGCACAUAUACUAAAAUUGGAAAGAUACAGAGAAGAUUAACAUGGUGCCUGCUCAAGGAUGACAUGCAAAUUCGUGAAUUGUUCUAUAGUUUU
This 107-nucleotide small nuclear RNA is filed under the name Sciurus vulgaris (Eurasian red squirrel). The record is from RNAcentral. Lineage: Eukaryota; Metazoa; Chordata; Mammalia; Rodentia; Sciuridae.